UGAACACUAAGCACAAAGGGAUGCCAAUUGUCCUUAAGAAUUCCAGUUUUGGUGCAGGUGGAAAGUGGGAAUCUUGGCUCCAAGGAAUGAACAGUGGCACAGAUGGCAGAGAACAUGGCAUCAACACUUUUGAGAUGCCAAGUAGGUCAUCCAGUCUAGCUGUGCCAUCAGUUUCUGCAGACCAGACUGGAGGAAUCGCAAGCUGCACAGUGAGCAGAGCCCACGAUGAUGCCACUUCUGGACGAGUAUCUCUGC
Molecule: long non-coding RNA, 255 nt
Organism: Pollicipes pollicipes
Lineage: Eukaryota; Metazoa; Arthropoda; Thecostraca; Pollicipedomorpha; Pollicipedidae
Exons: 3
Source: RefSeq, a predicted model, not a curated record